This 426-nucleotide ribosomal RNA is filed under the name uncultured bacterium. Its description in RNAcentral is "bacterial SSU rRNA". It matches the Rfam family "Bacterial small subunit ribosomal RNA", at positions 354 to 796 of the family's 1533-position model. The record is from RNAcentral.
GCAAGGAAUAUUGCGCAAUGGGCGAAAGCCUGACGCAGCGACGCCGCGUGAGGGAUGAAGACCUUCGGGUUGUAAACCUCUUUUAUCAGGGAAGAAUAAUGACGGUACCUGGUGAAUAAGUCUCGGCUAACUACGUGCCAGCAGCCGCGGUAAUACGUAGGAGGCAAGCGUUAUCCGGAUUUAUUGGGCGUAUAGAGCGCGUAGGCGGCUUUGCUAGUCAGAUGUGAAAUCUCCCGGCUCAACUGGGAGGGGUCAUUUGAUACUGCAAGGCUGGAGGGCAGCAGAGGGAGGUGGAAUUCCCGGUGUAGUGGUGAAAUGCGUAGAUAUCGGGAGGAACACCAGUGGCGAAAGCGGCCUCCUGGGCUGUACCUGACGCUGAGGUGCGAAAGCGUGGGGAGCGAACAGGAUUAGAUACCCGAGUAGUCC